GUUCACUCUGAGUCAUUCUGAAGACGGAAGGUGCGUCUUAUAUAGCCUGCUGAGAUGCAGAGCUGACAAGCACACCUGUCUAACAACUAGGAAUAGCAAUCCGCUUGAGUUGUUUUGGGAAAUGUGGUGAGAUUCCAGUUUCCCAAUUUUCGGUAAAGAGACUCACGCUAUGACGCAUUGAAAAACAUGUAUGAGCCUGAGAGUGCGAUAGCUUCUGAUUGGGCGUUGGAGCUGAGAAAUCGGCGAGUUCAAUCUUGAGGCGAGUACGACCGCCUGGCCAAGUGUCAGUAAGUCCUAUGGUUGACCGCUAGAGAAGAGUCAAUAAAUCCUUCGGGUUGACUUCCUUGUUCGCACGUCAAUAAAUCCAUACAGGUUGACCGCAAUGAGCUGAAAAACCUGCCAUGAGCAAAGAGCGAGUUUGGCCGGCUGAAAUGCCUGAGCCAUCAUUUCCGUGCCUUGUGAGAGUUCUUGAAAACCACAUGUGCAGCCGCCAGAGCCAAGAGCCUGCGCCAGAGCCAGAGCGCCAGAGCGCCAGAGCCACCGACUGAGAUUCUAAUGGGUGGAAAUCCUUUUGAUGAAAAUUGAUACACACACAUUCACAGGGUGAAACUCCUUUGUGAAGUCUCAUUGGGUGAAAUUCCUGUAUGAGAGAGAGGCCGCCUAGAAACUGAAGAGCCAAGCUGAAAUGCAAGAGCUACCAGUAUGCUGAGGAGCCAGCUGAGACGCUGAGUUGAGACGCCUAGAGCAAAGAUCUGCAUCGACAGACGCCUGCAAGGACAGAAGAGCCCUACAAGCCCGAGCUGAUACGCCAAUACGCCAAUGAGUGCGAAUGCGAGAGCCGCCGAAGAGCAACAGAUGCCUGAGUCAGAGCCAUCAAGUCCCUUUGGGCAAUAAGUGCCAGAACCAGUGCUACAGACAUGAGCAAAGCGCCAAUAAGCCCACAGUGCAAUAAGUGCCAAACGCCAGCCAUACCAAUUCCGCGAGAAAAGCCAAUAAGUCCUACCAGGCAAUGAGUGCCAAACGCCGCGAGAGAGCCACUAAGUCCUACAAGGCAAUAAGAGCCAUUACGCCUGAGCAAGAGCCAGAGAGUCCACAGAUGCAUUAAGUGCCAAAUGCAAGAGCAGACGAGAGCAUGAGCAAGAGCACGAGCCAAAGUCACACACUAUUCAAGGAGUAGGCAGUGAACCUCUUAGCCAGAGGACGUAACUGACCGAACCUGUUUAUUUAGUUUUGAGAGGAGUAGGUGAAAUUCCGAACCUCUUGGGUGAAUAAAUCAUGGACCAGAGAGUUCCGCCCGAAUAUUUGAGUCGUAGUGAGUUGAAUUGUAGUUAAAGUAGUCCUUCGUAUUUUUAUUGA
This 1356-nucleotide unclassified non-coding RNA is filed under the name Yarrowia lipolytica. Lineage: Eukaryota; Fungi; Ascomycota; Dipodascomycetes; Dipodascales. The record is from RNAcentral.